UACGAAGGGGGCUAGCGUUGUUCGGAAUUACUGGGCGUAAAGCGCGUGUAGGCGGGCCGUUAAGUCGGGGGUGAAAGCCCAGAGCUCAACUCUGGAAUUGCCUUCGAUACUGGCGGCCUGGAGCAUGAUAGAGGCGAGUGGAAUUGCGAGUGUAGAGGUGAAAUUCGUAGAUAUUCGCAGGAACACCAGUGGCGAAGGCGACUCGCUGGAUCAUUGCUUACGCUGGGUCGCGAAAGCGUGGGGAGCAAACAGG
This 253-nucleotide ribosomal RNA is filed under the name uncultured bacterium. Its description in RNAcentral is "partial 16S ribosomal RNA". It matches the Rfam family "Bacterial small subunit ribosomal RNA", at positions 524 to 776 of the family's 1533-position model. The record is from RNAcentral.